GUUGUAUAGUCAAGUAAUUAAGUGCAUGUGGUGGAUGCCUUGGCAGUCAGAGGCGAUGAAAGACGUGAUAGCCUGCGAAAAGCUCCGGGGAGGCGGCAAAUAUCCUUUGAUCCGGAGAUGUCUGAAUGGGGGAACCCACCUACUUUAAGGUAGGUAUUGCAACAUGAAUACAUAGUGUUGCAAGGCGAACGAGGGGAAGUGAAACAUCUCAGUACCCUUAGGAAAAGAAAUCAAUUGAGAUUCCCUCAGUAGCGGCGAGCGAACGGGGAUCAGCCCAUUAAGUUAUGUGUGUUUUAGUGGAACGCUCUGGGAAGUGCGAACGUAGAGGGUGAUAUUCCCGUACACGAAAGGGCACACAUAAUGAUGACGAGUAGGGCGAGGCACGUGAAACCUUGUCUGAAUAUGGGGGGACCAUCCUCCAAGGCUAAAUACUCCUGACUGACCGAUAGUGAACCAGUACCGUGAGGGAAAGGCGAAAAGAACCCCUGUGAGGGGAGUGAAAUAGAUCCUGAAACCGCAUGCAUACAAGCAGUGGGAGCACCUUCGUGGUGUGACUGCGUACCUUUUGUAUAAUGGGUCAGCGACUUAUAUUCAGUAGCAAGGUUAACCGUAUAGGGGAGCCGUAGAGAAAUCGAGUCUUAAUAGGGCGUUUAGUUGCUGGGUAUAGACCCGAAACCAGGCGAUCUAUCCAUGAGCAGGUUGAAGGUUGGGUAACACUAACUGGAGGACCGAACCCACUGUCGUUGAAAAGCCAGGGGAUGACUUGUGGAUAGGGGUGAAAGGCUAAUCAAGCCUGGUGAUAGCUGGUUCUCCCCGAAAGCUAUUUAGGUAGCGCCUCGGACGAAUACCAUAGGGGGUAGAGCACUGUUUCGGCUAGGGGGUCAUCCCGACUUACCAAACCGAUGCAAACUCCGAAUACCUAUGAGUACUAUCCGGGAGACAGACUGCGGGUGCUAACGUCCGUAGUCAAGAGGAAAACAAUCCAGACCGCCAGCUAAGGCCCCAAAAUCAUAGUUAAGUGGGAAACGAUGUGGGAAGGCAUAGACAGCUAGGAGGUUGGCUUANNNNNNNNNNNNNNNNNNNNGAAGCAGCCACCCUUUAAAGAAAGCGUAAUAGCUCACUAGUCGAGUCGGCCUGCGCGGAAGAUGUAACGGGGCUAAAACUAUGUGCCGAAGCUGCGGAUUUGACAUUAGUCAAGUGGUAGGGGAGCGUUCUGUAAGCCGAUGAAGGUGUAUUGAGAAGUNNNNNNNNNNNNNNNNNNNNNAUGCUGGAGGUAUCAGAAGUGCGAAUGCUGACGUGAGUAACGACAAAACGGGUGAAAAACCCGUUCGCCGAAAGACCAAGGGUUCCAGUCCAACGUUAAUCGGGGCUGGGUGAGUCGACCCCUAAGGCGAGGCCGAAAGGCGUAGUCGAUGGGAAAAUGGUUAAUAUUCCAUUACUUCUGUGUAAUGCGAUGAGAGGACGGAGAAGGCUAAAUCAGCCUGGCGUUGGUUGUCCAGGUGAAAGGAUGUAGGCAUGUAUCUUAGGCAAAUCCGGGGUACUCUAUGCUGAGAUCUGAUAGCAAGCUGUACUUGUACAGCGAAGUGGUUGAUGCCAUGCUUCCAGGAAAAGUCUCUAAGCUUCAGUUACACAGGAAUCGUACCCGAAACCGACACAGGUGGUCAGGUCGAGUAGACCAAGGCGCUUGAGAGAACUCUGCUGAAGGAACUAGGCAAAAUGGUACCGUAACUUCGGGAGAAGGUACGCUGUUGUUGGUGAUGGAACUCGCUUCCUGAGCUGACGACAGCCGCAGAAACCAGGCCGCUGCAACUGUUUAUUAAAAACAUAGCACUCUGCAAACACGAAAGUGGACGUAUAGGGUGUGAUGCCUGCCCGGUGCUGGAAGGUUAAUUGAUGGGGUUAGCGUAAGCGAAGCUCUUGAUCGAAGCCCCAGUAAACGGCGGCCGUAACUAUAACGGUCCUAAGGUAGCGAAAUUCCUUGUCGGGUAAGUUCCGACCUGCACGAAUGGCAUAAUGAUGGCGGCGCUGUCUCCAGCAGAGGCUCAGUGAAAUCGAAAUCGCUGUGAAGAUGCAGUGUACCCGCGGCUAGACGGAAAGACCCCGUGAACCUUUACUGCAGCUUGACACUGAACUUUGACCUUACUUGUGUAGGAUAGGUGGGAGGCUUUGAAGCUGGAACGCUAGUUCCAGUGGAGCCGUCCUUGAAAUACCACCCUGGUAAUGUUGAGGUUCUAACUCUGUCCCGUGAUCCGGGACGAGGACCGUGUCUGGUGGGUAGUUUGACUGGGGCGGUCUCCUCCUAAAGAGUAACGGAGGAGUACGAAGGUGCGCUCAGCGUGGUCGGAAAUCACGCGUAGAGUAUAAAGGCAAAAGCGCGCUUAACUGCGAGACCCACAAGUCGAGCAGGUACGAAAGUAGGUCUUAGUGAUCCGGUGGUUCUGUAUGGAAGGGCCAUCGCUCAACGGAUAAAAGGUACUCUGGGGAUAACAGGCUGAUACCGCCCAAGAGUUCAUAUCGACGGCGGUGUUUGGCACCUCGAUGUCGGCUCAUCUCAUCCUGGGGCUGAAGCAGGUCCCAAGGGUAUGGCUGUUCGCCAUUUAAAGAGGUACGCGAGCUGGGUUUAGAACGUCGUGAGACAGUUCGGUCCCUAUCUACCGUGGGCGCUGGAAAUUUGAGAGGAUCUGCUCCUAGUACGAGAGGACCAGAGUGGACGAACCUCUGGUGUACCGGUUGUGACGCCAGUCGCAUCGCCGGGUAGCUAUGUUCGGAAGGGAUAACCGCUGAAAGCAUCUAAGCGGGAAGCCUACCUCAAGAUAAGAUUUCCCUAGGACUUUAUGUCCUCUAAAGAGCCGUUCGAGACUAGGACGUUGAUAGGUUGGAUGUGGAAGCAUAGUGAUAUGUGAAGCUGACCAAUACUAAUUGCUCGUGAGGCUUGACUAUACAACACCCAAGCAGUUG
This 2958-nucleotide ribosomal RNA is filed under the name Acinetobacter baumannii. Its description in RNAcentral is "bacterial LSU rRNA". It matches the Rfam family "Bacterial large subunit ribosomal RNA". Lineage: Bacteria; Pseudomonadati; Pseudomonadota; Gammaproteobacteria; Moraxellales; Moraxellaceae. The record is from RNAcentral.